UUAACACUUGCCAGUCGAGCGAUGAAACUACUUCGGUAGUGAAAUAGAGGCGAACGGGUGAGGAACACGUGAGGAAUCUGCCUUCUACACUGGGAUAACUCCGGGAAACCGGGGCUAAUACCGGAUAUGAAACUUGGUGGCAUCACCGAGUUUGGAAAGUUUUUCGGUAGAAGAUGACCUCGCGGCCUAUCAGCUUGCUGGUGAGGUAAUGGCUCACCAAGGCGACGACGGGUAGCCGGCCUGAGAGGGCGACCGGCCACACUGGGACUGAGACACGGCCCAGACUCCUACGGGAGGCAGCAGUGGGGAAUAUUGGGCAAUGGAGGAAACUCUGACCCAGCGACGCCGCGUGCGGGAUGAAGGCCUUCGGGUUGUAAACCGCUUUCAUUAGGGAAGAAGCGAAAGUGACGGUACCUACAGAAGAAGCACCGGCUAACUAUGUGCCAGCAGCCGCGGUAAUACAUAGGGUGCAAGCGUUGUCCGGAAUUAUUGGGCGUAAGAGCUCGUAGGUGGUUCGUUACGUAGGAUGUGAAAAUCUGGGGCUCAACCCCAGACCUGCAUCCGAUACGGUCGAGCUAGAGUUUGGUAGGGGAGACUGGAAUUCCUGGUGUAGCGGUGGAAUGCGCAGAUAUCACGAGGAACACCAAUGGCGAAGGCAGGUCUCUGGGCCAAUACUGACACUGAGGAGCGAAAGCGUGGGGAGCGAACAGGAUUAGAUACUCUGGUAGUCCACUCCGUAAACGGUGGGCGCUAGUUGUGGGAACCUUCCAUGG
Molecule: ribosomal RNA, 773 nt
Filed under: uncultured Actinomycetes bacterium
Lineage: Bacteria; Bacillati; Actinomycetota; Actinomycetes
Description: bacterial SSU rRNA
Rfam family: Bacterial small subunit ribosomal RNA
Source: RNAcentral